Long non-coding RNA from Dendronephthya gigantea, 340 nucleotides. RefSeq lists it as uncharacterized. The record is from RefSeq and is a predicted model, not a curated record. The transcript is spliced from 3 exons. Lineage: Eukaryota; Metazoa; Cnidaria; Anthozoa; Malacalcyonacea; Nephtheidae.
UUUACCAGUGAAGUUGACUGGUUUGUACUCACUCGGUGUUAUACUGUGUAAAAGCAGUAAAACUGUGCCGUCACUGCUGUGUAUCAAUAAUCAUGGCAAGGAAUCGCGUCUGCAACAUUUGUGAAAAGUCAAUAACUUUACAUGGACAGAGUGAUUUGAAAAAUACAAUGACUUGCUCAUCCUGUAGUGACAUUUUCCAUUUCAUGUGCCUUGAACUACCUAAAGAAAUUCACCAAGUUAUAUGUUCAUAUCCAUGGCAAUGCAAUGAUUGUAAAUCAUGUGAAGUAUGCAAAAGUGAUAAAAAUGAGAAAAAGCUUCUGUGCUGUGAUGGAUGUGACAA